This 584-nucleotide long non-coding RNA is filed under the name Monodelphis domestica (gray short-tailed opossum). RNAcentral describes it as "lncRNA (ENSMODG00000044970.1)". The record is from RNAcentral. Lineage: Eukaryota; Metazoa; Chordata; Mammalia; Didelphimorphia; Didelphidae.
CUAGUUUCAAAAAACAUUGAAUAACUAUGUUAAUGCAGGAGAGUUUCUAGUGGACAAAUAGAGGGACUCUACACUUUGUCUUUUGUUAUUGGACAUUUUUAGCAAUGAUUUGUAGCAUGACCUAGUGGGUUUGAAGUCAGAGUACCUAGGUUCAAAUCUUGUCUCAGCCAUGUACUCCCAGUGUGACCAUGGUUAGGUCUGCUGACUCCAUGGAUCUCAUCCACUUCUGGUAUGGACCUGCUGCCUCUCAAAUGAAACCUGACCAUCAAAAGCCUAAUUUUACAUAAAAAGAGAAAAAGGGACUGAGAGUGAGAAGUUUGGAGGCAGCGAGGUAAUCCAGUGCUGGGCUCUGAAGUGAAGAAGAUUUCAAGUUCAAAUUCUGCUUUAGACAUUCCCUACUUGUAUUAUGUGACCCUGUCCAAAUAAUUUCUGCUCUCUCUGCCUUGGUUUCCUCAUCUGCAAAAUGGGGAUAAUAAUAGGACCUACCUCCUAGGAUUGUUUAUGAGGACCAGAGGAGACAAUACAUGUAGAAUCUUUGCAAACCUUAAACCAUUAUAUAAAUGCUAACUAGUAUUUUUAUUAUU